This 186-nucleotide non-coding RNA is filed under the name Bulleidia extructa. Its description in RNAcentral is "T-box sequence". It matches the Rfam family "T-box leader". Rfam says of the family: Uncharged tRNA acts as the effector for transcription antitermination of genes in the T-box leader family. T-boxes are found upstream of many aminoacyl-tRNA synthetase genes and some amino acid biosynthetic genes usually in Gram-positive bacteria. The record is from RNAcentral. Lineage: Bacteria; Bacillati; Bacillota; Erysipelotrichia; Erysipelotrichales; Erysipelotrichaceae.
UCUAUCACAUUGAAGAAGAGUAGUAAAUGAGACUGAAAGCAUAGAGAGCUAAGGGAUGGUGUAACUUAGUGUUUCAAAAUCAUUGAACUUGCUUUGGAGCGAAGCGUAACUCUUGCGAUAAAAGAGAAUAAAGGGCAUGAAGAAAUUCAUGAACUAAGGUGGUACCGCGUGAAAUACGUCCUUAGA